GAUGAACGCUGACAGAAUGCUUAACACAUGCAAGUCUUUGGCGAAGCUGUGCUUGCACAGCCUAGCCAAGGCGGACGGGUGAGUAACGCGUAAGGGACUUGCCCUGCAGUCAGGGAUAACAGACGGAAACGACUGAUAAAACCUGGUAAAGUCAGGCGGACUCAUGUCCAGCCUGAUGAAAAGGAAUGCUGCAGGAGAGCCUUGCGUCCUAUUAGCUCGUUGGUGGGGUAACGGCCCACCAAGGCGAUGAUAGGUAGCCGGCCUGAGAGGGUGGACGGCCACAAGGGGACUGAGAUACGGCCCUUACUCCUACGGGAGGCAGCAGUGGGGAAUAUUGGACAAUGGGGGCAACCCUGAUCCAGCAAUUCUGUGUGCACGAUGAAGGUCUUCGGAUUGUAAAGUGCUUUCAGCAGGGAAGAAAAAAAUGACGGUACCUGCAGAAGAAGCGACGGCUAAAUACGUGCCAGCAGCCGCGGUAAUACGUAUGUCGCGAGCGUUAUCCGGAAUUAUUGGGCAUAAAGGGCAUCUAGGCGGCCGGAUAAGUCUGGGGUGAAAACUUGCGGCUCAACCGCAAGCCUGCCCUGGAAACUAUGCGGCUAGAGUACUGGAGAGGUGGACGGGACUGCACGAGUAGAGGUGAAAUUCGUAGAUAUGUGCAGGAAUGCCGAUGAUGAAGAUAGUUCACUGGACGGUAACUGACGCUGAAGUGCGAAAGCUAGGGGAGCAAACAGG
This 732-nucleotide ribosomal RNA is filed under the name uncultured Leptotrichia sp. RNAcentral's name for it is "bacterial SSU rRNA". It matches the Rfam family "Bacterial small subunit ribosomal RNA", at positions 28 to 776 of the family's 1533-position model. Lineage: Bacteria; Fusobacteriati; Fusobacteriota; Fusobacteriia; Fusobacteriales; Leptotrichiaceae. The record is from RNAcentral.